ACAGGACAGGAAGAUCGGUGAUGCACAGCUGUCGAAUCAAACACGCUCACACACAGACACACACACGAAAGUGACCGGCAUAAUGUGCAGACAACGGAGAAGGAAGAGCAGAAGUGGAAAGCACAGCGAUGAAGAACUUUCAGGAACUUGGACACACACGGGGGAGGAAGAUUGGAGAAGGACAGAGGCAAGCACACACGCACCUCGGAGAAAGGAGAAUUGAGGAUGAGGGGGUACGCUAAAGGAAAGGACGGCAGUAGAAAGAGAAGAAUGUCACAAGCAAAGAAAAAAAAAAAACAAGAAUAUCCAGUCGAAGUUACCAUGACGUACGUCUCACCGCUCCACACACAUUGCCUUUUAGGUCCUCGGUUUGGUAUGAAUACUGGUUGUAAAGAAGCCCAAGUCAAAUGUUCAUUUCAGUCUAUGCUGCGGGCUGCUAACAAAAUGGAUGUUCAUAAUUUGGACAGCCUUUAUUUAAACCAUGCAAACUUUUUUGACCCAGCCAACUGGAACCAGGACUGGAAUCGCUCCAAUUCAAACGAUGCCCAACCCUAGUCCCGCCUCAGAGAUGAUGUGUUAAACUGUGUUUAGUGCUUUUCCUCGUUUUGUUUAAGACUCUCAGCUGGUAUUGACCAACUUUUUGAUGAAAAAGGAUUUGGAUCUUGUGUGGCUGAUGAUGUGCAUUUCAGUCUGUCUAUUUGUGCUGUUUGACAAGAAGGAGCACUGAGUGACGAUGCAGUCUGCGAUGUUAGUUUCUCAUGCGAGACACCAGCUGACUUUUCACUGACCAGCUAGCAAAAGGUAGAUGAUUGUUUGGCGUUAAUGUUUGACAUCAACCACGGAUGUUAUGUCAUCUUUCAGGUGUGCGACAAUGUUAAAGAACUACGUCUAAGGUACAUCAGUGGCAUGUUUAAUAUACCUUCUACAUCAUUUCUCAUUCGAGUCAAGAGAUUGUUUAAAGUUGUGUUCUUUCAAAACAUAUGCUUAUAAUGGUGUGACAAUGCAUUCUAUAAAAAUGUUACUUGGAACU
Long non-coding RNA from Phycodurus eques (leafy seadragon), 1030 nucleotides. RefSeq lists it as uncharacterized. Lineage: Eukaryota; Metazoa; Chordata; Actinopteri; Syngnathiformes; Syngnathidae. The transcript has 3 exons. The record is from RefSeq and is a predicted model, not a curated record.